This is a long non-coding RNA of Tribolium castaneum (red flour beetle), 1801 nucleotides long. RefSeq lists it as uncharacterized. Lineage: Eukaryota; Metazoa; Arthropoda; Insecta; Coleoptera; Tenebrionidae. The transcript has 3 exons. The record is from RefSeq and is a predicted model, not a curated record.
GUUGUGGUCCGUAAGGUUUCACUAUCAAGAGUUAUUUUAAAAUGCUGCUGUCACCGUCUCCGACCAACAUUACAUAUUUGAAUUUAUGCAUUUCAACAUAGUGUUUAAAUCCUUCAACCAUGGGCUCGUCCCGCAAAUCGUAGAUUUUGUUAAUUUUAUACCUAAUGAAAAACAACAUAAUUUCUACGAGAUCCAUGCCCAAAAAUUUGCAAGAAUGCCUAAGAAAUGAAUUUUAAGUCAUCAUGACGUCACAGACCGAAUACCGCUCACUAGCGUUUUGAUGGUUCACUCAUGAUUAGUAGAGACAUGGUUGCGCUGUAACUCUGUGGAGGUGUGGGGAGUAUGCCAUGCACCGUCUUAUCGGACUCGUCAAUAUAUGAAAUUCUACAAAUUUGUAGAGAAUUUGGAAUAAUUGAGGUAUUCCUCAAUACUGUAAAAAGCUUUGUCUUGUAGGAAGAAUGACAGGCGACUGCGAAAUAUAUUAAAAGACUUAGAUUCCUUAAUUUUUUGUUCCAAGUUGUUGUACAAUUUGAUUCCCGCAUAUGUAGGAUCAUAUUGACCAAUAGCCAACCUAGUAACCUAGAAUGUGGCAGCUCAAUGUGGUUUCUUGUCCUUGUAUUGUAUGCGUGAAUAUUGCUUCGUUUAUUAAGAGUGCUUACAUGUUGUCGAAUAAACAAAAGUAAGUGAAAUAUAUAUAAAGAUGGGAGGGUCAUAAUACCAAAUUUACGAAAGAUAGGACGACAGAAUACGUUUUUGUACUACAAAUAGAUUAUUCAAAAAGCUGCUGGACCCCCAAAAAGUAAUUCCAUAAAUUUACCUUUUCUAAAACCAUGCUGACUAGAAGAGAUCAAAUUUGUAUAUUCCAAAAACCUUACCAAGCGAUGAGAGAAUAUUCUCUCAAAGAUUUUAUGAAAUUGAUUUUGGACUGCAAUUGGUCUAUAGCAUGAGACUUCACUUUUGGAACCUUUAUUUUUAUAUAUUGGGACAACUUUUGAAGUUUUUAAAGCUUCAGGAAAAACACCUUUUGAAAAGGACUCAUUGAUUAAAUGGGAUAAUGGGGAAGAUAUUAGAUCUCUGACAGGAAUUAGUAAGUUCCAGGUAUUUCAUCAAUGCCAGGUGUUUUUUUGUUACAUGUUUUAUUUAUGACUGAAAUCACCUCCUCCGGUGAUGAAGGUGCCAAACAGAAACUUUUUACAACAGUUGAAGUAGAUUUGGAGUAAUUUUGUGAUAAAACUGACUCACUUCUUUGGGUAAAUUGGACACCAUCAGCAAAAUAAUCUUUAAAGAAGUUACAAACAUCCAACGAAUUUUUUCGAUGGCUGUUAAUUAUAUUCCAGCUUUCACGCACAAGGUUAUCUGAAUUAGCCAAUCGGUUGCCAUUAUAUGUGUACUUUCUACACUUUAAAGACUUAAAAUAAAUUUGCCUAAGUUCUAAAAUUUUUUUAUGGUACGCCGGAUUGUUAAUACUUUUACUUAAUUUUGACAUGUCAUGUAAUGUUUUCAGAGAAUGGGUAUACCAUGUUGGUUUGCCUUUUAUUUUGCUUUUAAUCUUUAUCGACUUAAUUGGGUAACAUUUAUCAAAAUAACGCAAAAAUGUAUUGUAAAAGAUAUUAAACCCUAAGUUAAAAUCUGAAGCAGCAAAUGUAUCCUGCCAAUCUUCGGUCUGAAGACAUUCUUUAAAGUGAGAAAUAUUUACAUCGCUAAAAACACGUUUCUUAAUCAUAUAUGAACAAUUGUUAUCACAAUUGCCUAAGCCUAGUUUAUUACUAUCAAAAACAACUAAUUGAUAUGUAUGAUCUGA